This 301-nucleotide ribosomal RNA is filed under the name uncultured bacterium. RNAcentral describes it as "partial 16S ribosomal RNA". It matches the Rfam family "Bacterial small subunit ribosomal RNA", at positions 509 to 807 of the family's 1533-position model. The record is from RNAcentral.
CAGUAGCCACGGUAAUACGUAGGUGGCAAGCGUUGUCCGGAAUUAUUGGGCGUAAAGCGCGCGCAGGUGGUUCCUUAAGUCUGAUGUGAAAGCCCACGGCUCAACCGUGGAGGGUCGUUGGAAACUGGGGGACUUGAGUGCAGAAGAGGAAAGUGGAAUUCCAAGUGUAGCGGUGAAAUGCGUAGAUAUUUGGAGGAACACCAGUGGCGAAGGCGACUUUCUGGUCUGUAACUGACACUGAGGCGCGAAAGCGUGGGGAGCAAACAGGAUUAGAUACCCCGGUAGUCCCUGUCUCUUAUAC